This 440-nucleotide ribosomal RNA is filed under the name uncultured bacterium. RNAcentral's name for it is "bacterial SSU rRNA". It matches the Rfam family "Bacterial small subunit ribosomal RNA", at positions 28 to 470 of the family's 1533-position model. The record is from RNAcentral.
GAUGAACGCUAGCGGCAGGCUUAACACAUGCAAGUCGAGGGGUAUUGGUUUUCGGACCAAGAGACCGGCGCACGGGUGCGUAACGCGUAUGCAAUCUACCUUUUGCAGAGGGAUAGCCCCAGAGAAAUUUGGAUUAAUACCUCAUAGUAUAGUACUUUGGCAUCAAGGAACUAUUAAAGUCACAACGGCAAAAGAUGAGCAUGCGUCCCAUUAGCUAGUUGGUAAGGUAACGGCUUACCAAGGCUACGAUGGGUAGGGGUUCUGAGAGGGAGAUCCCCACACUGGUACUGAGACACGGACCAGACUCCUACGGAGGCAGCAGUGAGGAAUAUUGGACAAUGGGCGCAAGCCUGAUCCAGCCAUGCCGCGUGCAGGAUGACGGUCCUAUGGAUUGUAAACUGCUUUUAUACAGGAAGAAACACUCCGACGUGUCGGAGCUU